Molecule: long non-coding RNA, 1970 nt
Filed under: Sus scrofa (pig)
Lineage: Eukaryota; Metazoa; Chordata; Mammalia; Artiodactyla; Suidae
Description: lncRNA (ENSSSCG00005002396.1)
Source: RNAcentral
UUUUUUUUUUUUUUUUUUUUGGCCACACCUGUGGUACAUGGACGUUCCCAGGCCAGGUAUUGAACCCAUGCCACUGCAGAGACAACACUGGAUCCUCAACCCACUGAGCCACAGUGAGAACUCCCUUCUUUAAAACUCUCCAGUGGCAUCAUUUGGCAUACGCUUUGCCACGGACUUCAGGUCCCUGAACGAUCUGGCCCUUUCCUGGCCUUUUGAAUUCACCUCCUCCUACUUUUUUCAAGUUCACAAGGCUGCAGCCUCAAGGCCUUCCUUCCAAAUGUCACCAGUCGCUCUUGUAUGGGAGUGUUGGCCGCUGCUGCUUUUUGCACGGCUGACUACUCCUCACGGCCAAGGUUUCACGUGGGCCAGCACUUCCUUGAUGGUCUGUUUACACGUUUCACCAUCAUCCCGGGUCACAAGCUCCUCAGCCUGUUUUGAAGCCUUCAAAGCUCUUAUCACCGUUGGAGAGAGCCUUGUUCAUUUUCUCUCUUUGUGCCAGAUGACAGGCUAGUCCUGCCGGGAGCUGGGGCUGCCUCAACUUGCUCUGUCUUUCCUAAGUACCCGACACUUGGAAGGCCAUCGCCACCUAUUUGCUGACUUGAAUGGAUGGAAUCCUAUACAAAGUUAUGCUUCCUCUAAUAUCUGAAAUUCUACCAUUAGCAACGUAUUCCUUUUUUUUUUUUUUGCCUUUUGUCCUUUUAGGGCCACACCCACAGCGGCUGUGGAGGUUCCCAGGCUAGGGGUCGAAUCGGAGCUGUAGCCACCGGCCUACGCCAGAGCCACAGCUACGCGGGAUCCGAGCCGCGUCUGCAACCUACACCACAGCUCACGGCAACGCCGGAUCCUUAACCCACUGAGCAAGGGCAGGGACCGAACCCGCAACCUCGUGGUUCCUAGUCGUAUUCGUUAACCACUGCGCCACGACGGGAACUCCCAUGCACAACUUUAAUGCAUUUGUUCAUCUUACAUCACAGUCAAAAUCAGAAUAACACUAUGCAACCUGGAAUAGAUUCAUGGAGUUUAGAGAACAUUAUCUUUGUUCCUCUCACUUUUAGAUGGUGGAACAGAGGCCAAGAGGGGUUGAGUAACUUGUUCAGUAAUAAAGACACGAUGUAUUAAAAACAGGAAAAUAAUCCAAGGUUUCUGGACAUGCAAGGAAGGUCUCUUUUCACUUUACCUUCUUAUUUCAUAGGGGAGACAGAUUUCAGUGGGUAGGGAACAAGGGACUUGGGGGUCUGAUGAGAACACUGAAGGAUCAGAUGGAAAGCUGGCAGGCACAAUCUCAAAAGCAUGACAAACCCCAGUUCCUGCAAAAUGAGGUCAAAUAGCCCCACUUAGGCUGUAGGGACUCAGGGGCAUCCUUUAGUUGAGCCAAGGGCAGCCCAAUACCUGAUAUUCACGACUCUGACCCUGAGUCAGAAAUCCAAGAUGAAAUCAUGUUUCUCAUAUUCUACUGAAGGAGGUAGGGAAGGGUUCCAUGCACUCUCAGGGACAUUCCUAUGCAAAAUGGUUAAAAUAAAUAUAUCAUUUGAUGUGCAAAGGGAUAAGCUUCAGUUAUGUGGAAAACACAUUCACACGGAACAGUCCGCGCCAAAUGAGGCAUUGCAGUAUUUGCAAAAUGUUCAGCAUGUCCUCCGAGUCUUGGCUACUCUGAGGUUUCUACUAAAUGAAAAAUGAGCUUUACUUGUGUCUAAAUCUGAGCUUAAGUGCACUCUCUAAAACCUUCCUGGGAAUUUUUUGGACAGGUGUCUCUUUUCAAACAGCAUAAUAUUUGGACAUUACAUUUUAAAUAUGUGCAGAUAAAAAUGAUAUUCCAAAUCUGUAUUUCACUUAUAACCAGAUGGGAUAACAGUAGUGAGAGUUACCGAGAGACAGUCCUUCAUGGAAAAAUAAUGGAAAUAGAACCUAACCUCUUCCUAACCCCGCCUGGAGGUUUGUGGCUACGAGUUCUAGAGCGAACAUCAUAUUCU